Vulpes vulpes (red fox) is the source of this 1642-nucleotide long non-coding RNA. NCBI's taxonomy places the organism in Eukaryota, Metazoa, Chordata, Mammalia, Carnivora, Canidae. The record is from Ensembl.
GGCCCACGGAGGGCGGAUGGCGAAGGGGAGGGGGCGACCGGGGCAAGACCCCUGGAGUGUGGGGGUGUGGGGUGCUGGGGGCCCCUGCGACCCACACUGGCCUGUCCCGUCUUCUGUCCCCAAGUGAACGGGUUCCUGUCCCUCCGCGCCCCCGCCAGGCCUCUGCUGAGGCUUUCGGGGGACCGGUCGUGGCCCCCGAGGGCAGCCCCUAGCGACCAAGGGGAGCGCGCAGGACUCGGGUCGGUGUGCCGCAGGCCGCCCCUCCCAGAGGCGCGGUGGGGACCCAGAGUAAGGGUCGGUUGGCCCUGCCGGGGAAGGGAGAAGGCGGCAGGGGCGCAGGAGAGAGGAGGCUUCGUUUGCUGAAAACUCUGCGCUUCUUGCCGGAGACCAGGCUGAGCUCUAACCAGCCCUCCGCGCGUCUCUUCCACCCACAGACGCGGCCCGGGGCGAGCCCUCACGGUGCUCUGGGUCCCACAGGUUCAGCCGGUGCACCACCCGGGAAGGAGGAACGUCCCCCGUCUCCUACUGUGGUCUCCAGGAGCUGCCGGAGGCCUCAGUCCCUCAGGACCAUCCCUCCUAGAGCCCCUCCAGGGCCAGGGGUCUGCCUAACCUGUCUGCACUUGAAGCAGAAAUGCCUCAGGGGCAGGGGGCCCGUCUCUGGCUGAGGGGCCCCUCCGUGUCCUGGCAGGGAGAUGAGGAGUGGUCCCUGGCCUCUGUGCGGUGGACCUUGGGUUCCCUUGUAGCAGUUCCCAGGCUGUCCUACUGGCAACCAGAGGAAGGAGCCAGGACUCUGCAGGUGUGGUGGCUGGGUGCUGGGUGCCACCAGGCUGACAUGAGAGGGAAGAGACAAGGCCCAACUGGGCAGCUGAAGCUGAGCCCCAGGGAGCUCCCACAGCAUCGUGGCCAGGGUGGUGCCCACCCGCCCCACAACCAUUCUGACUUCCAGUAGUAGUGACCCCCCCAUUUCUCUCUGGGAACCUCCAUCCUUCGUCCUCAUCUGUGGAGGUCUGGGUGGGACUCACCCACCCUUGCCCAGGGACGCAGGCCUUGGCCAGUCAGACCAUUUGGUCCCCUUAGGCCUCGAGGCCUUUGCUGAAGCUCGCAGGGAACGGGGAUUGCUCCACUGGAAUCCACUAGCUGGGGUGGACUGCCAGCUGUUGUCUAAAGGUGUUGUGUGGGAAGAGCUGGUCUGAGAAUGAAACCAACCCCAGGGAGAUUAAAGAAACCCCGCCAGGGUGUUUGCUCCAAAUGUCUGGAUUCAGCCUUGCCUAAAGCAAGGAUCUCCCAAACUUCAGUCACUGGAGCCAGGAAAUCUCCUUUUGUAUAAACAUUGAAACACUGGUUUUCCAAUGUUGAGACUCAGAGUCCCACUGGUUGCAGGACCACCACCCUCACCAACGUCACCUCCCACUCCUCCACCAUGACCCCUUUUCUUUCUUGGAACUCCAGGUCACUGUCUCUGCGUGACAGGCCCUCCCUGCAGAACUGAGCAUCUUCCACCAGCCCCACCUCCCACACCCUGGCUGGGCUCAGUGGGAGGGGGGAGCUCCUUGUCCCUCCCCACAACCUCCCCAGCUCGUGUGCGCACACACUCUCUCUCUCACUCUUACUCUUUCUCAAAUAAAACCUUUUUAAAAGCACA